UGAUGUCGAUGGAGUGUAAAUGAGUCUUUUAUGCACGCUUGUGGUUCUAAGAGGUUUAUGUAUUUUCAGACAAUAUAGGCGUAGUAGAAGUCCAAGCAGGGGCAGAAGUUCUAGAAGAUAUCGUUCACGCUCUCGCUCCCAGUCCAGUUCUAUAAUAUCUCCCUGGUCUCGUUCCAUAUCUCGCUCUCGCUCCCCAAGGGUGAGAAGCCGCUUGAAGUACUAAUAAGGCAAAGAAGUCGCAGCAGGUUUGGAUGUUGUAUAAGUGAUUACAGGUUUUUGCAAAGUUGUUGCAAGCUCCUAUUGACAUGGCCAAGGCUAUAGUAAAGAUGCGAUUUCCCGUACCUCGUUUAGUCACCUGUGAUCAGCAUGGUUCUCAGGCUAGGAUGGGAUCUGUUCUAAAAAAUUGGCUAUACCACAUAGGCUUGGUAUACAAGAGGUUCUGUUUGAGUAUUAAAGUUAUAAAUUUGGGUGUUUCCAACUGUUAAGUUGUUACUUGUCUUGUGCAGUUUGUUUCACAUCUAAAUAACGUUAUUUAGAUGUGUAAUGGUUAACUUUAGAAUUGUAAAUGAGUUUGUAUUUGAAUU
Erigeron canadensis is the source of this 584-nucleotide long non-coding RNA. RefSeq lists it as uncharacterized. The transcript is spliced from 4 exons. NCBI's taxonomy places the organism in Eukaryota, Viridiplantae, Streptophyta, Magnoliopsida, Asterales, Asteraceae. The record is from RefSeq and is a predicted model, not a curated record.